CCUUAUUGCUAUGCCACCCUGAACGUGCCUGAUCUCAUCUGAUCUCGGAAGCUAAGCAAGGUCGGACCUGGUUAGUACUUGGAUGGGAGACCACCUGGGAAGACCAGGUUCUGUAGGCA
Molecule: ribosomal RNA, 119 nt
Filed under: Pteropus alecto (black flying fox)
Lineage: Eukaryota; Metazoa; Chordata; Mammalia; Chiroptera; Pteropodidae
Also listed under: 1 other name
Source: RNAcentral